RNAcentral lists this ribosomal RNA (160 nucleotides) under uncultured bacterium. Its description in RNAcentral is "partial 16S ribosomal RNA". It matches the Rfam family "Bacterial small subunit ribosomal RNA", at positions 355 to 507 of the family's 1533-position model. The record is from RNAcentral.
UAGGGAAUCUUCCGCAAUGGACGAAAGUCUGACGGAGCAACGCCGCGUGAGUGAUGAAGGCCUUCGGGUCGUAAAACUCUGGUGUUAGGGAAGAACAAGUACCGGAGUAACUGCCGGUACCUUGACGGUACCUAACCAGAAAGCCACGGCUAACUACGUG